This is a long non-coding RNA of Adelges cooleyi (spruce gall adelgid), 2031 nucleotides long. RefSeq lists it as uncharacterized. NCBI's taxonomy places the organism in Eukaryota, Metazoa, Arthropoda, Insecta, Hemiptera, Adelgidae. The transcript is spliced from 3 exons. The record is from RefSeq and is a predicted model, not a curated record.
AAAAGUUAAUAGAAUAUACUCUACAUUUUAAAAAACUUAAAUUUUGAAGUUUUAAAAACGAAGUAAACUUUAUUUACCCAAAAAGGUAAAAAAUAACGAAUAAAGCUAGAAUUAGUUACAUUCACUCAUUUCGCUAAAUUUGGAUACGCCAGAGACUAUGUAUAGUAUCAAGUUGAAAAUACGUUAAUUUUAGUGGGUUAUUUUAGAUUAAGAAAGUAGAAGAAAUGAACUAGAAAAACGCAUCGAGUCAAUAUCGAGUCAAAACACAAAGCAUAUUAAAUAUAAAAAAAUGUCCAGUAUCGAUGCGGAGCUGAGAGUGUAUUGAUUUUACAAAUUUGGUCUCACAUUCUUUUGUUUUUUGUGUGUUUAAAAACGCUUAACAAAGCACAAUUAUUGUAGAAAAUAUUACAAUCAGUAAAUAUUGUCUGCCAAGAACAGCCUAAAAUAAUAAUAGAAGAAAGUUACUUUUUCAAACAAGUUUAAUAAGAUACCUAAAUCAAUUAUAUUGUGUUAAAUAAUAUUAAUAUUAUGCUAUAUAAUAUAUAACAGUUUAUAGAAAAUAUUUGUUUACACAGUUUUCGAUUUAAGCAUAUGUUUGUUCAUUUUAGUCAAGAAAAUAAAAAGUAAAUUUAUAUGGAUACAUAUAUUUCUAUCAACUUACAUAAAUACUUAAUACAUUGGUAUCUAUUGGUAAUGUUUGUACAAUCUUCAACUACUCAAUUUUUAACAGUGAAACUAAAUUGCCAAAUUUAAUAACAUGUUGAGUGCGUAUAAAAACACAUUGGUUUCACUAAAUGUCUUUGUGCAAGUGUAUAUAUGAUUGAUCAGUUAAACGAUAGUAAUAUUUAAAACAUUUUAAGGAAACUAAUAAAAAUAUAUUAAAUCUGAAUUAAAUUCCAAGUAAAAAAAAUUGCAAAUAAUAACAAAUAGAUUCAAAACCUAUUUUAUAACUGCCAAAUAGCCACGUGUGCUUUUGCUUGAUGACUUUUGAGAGUAUCUUGGCGACCAUAUGAUUUAUCACAGACUGAGCAUUUGUGUUGUACCCCACCAAUAUGUAUCCGUGCAUGUCUCUUGAGAUGAGAUUGUUGACGAAAUGUUUUUUCACAAACAACACAUUUAUAAGGUUUCUCACCGGUAUGUCUUCUUUCGUGAGUUUUGAAGUUAGAUUGUAUAUUAAAACAUUUUUUACAGACAUCGCAUUUAUAUGGUUUCUAACUGGUAUGUAUGCGUUCAUGAAUUAUGACUAUUAUAAUAUAAUAUUGACUGAAUGCUUUAUCACAGAAACGGCAUUUAAAUGGUCUCUCGCCGGUAUGAACGCGUCAAUGUCUUCUCAGGCUUGAUUUUAAUGAAAAUAGGCCAUCUUUGUUUGGAUUAUUUCUUUUGAUUUUGCAGAUACAAUGAUUGACUUUAUUUUUUUGAGGUGUUAUCGUGGGGUAUAUCGUACCCCACCAAUAUGUAUCCGUGCAUGUCUCUUGAGAUGAGAUUGUUGACGAAAUGUUUUUUCACAGACAUCGCAUUUAAACGGUUUUACGCUGACAUCGCAUUUAAACGGUUUCUCGCCGGUAUGAAUACGUGCAUGGUACUUGAGAUGAAUUUGUUGAUUGAAUGUUUUUUCACAGACAACGCAUUUAUAUGGUUUCUCACCGACAACGCAUUUAAAUAGUUUCUCGCCGGUAUGUACACGUGCAUGUCUCUUGAGACCAGAUUGUUGAAUAAAUGCUUUUUCACAGACACGGCAUUUAAAUGGUUUCUCCCCGGUAUGAACGCGCCAAUGUCUUCUCAGGCUUGAUUUUAAUAAAAACGUUUUCAAACAAAUUCCACAUUUAAAUAAGCCAUCUAUGUUUAGAGUAUUUCCUUUGAUUUUGCUGAUACGAUGAUUGACUUUAUUUUUUUGAGGUGUUUUAUUUCCAAUGGAAGUACUGGAAUGCGAUUUCGCAAUAUGCCGAAUUAUAUUAUUUUUGGUUGUAAACCUCCUUUGACAUAUAUUGCAGUCGAACCGACGUAUUUUGUACAUAUUUUUCUUAGAAUUGU